AUAAAAAACCAAUGCCCUUCGGGGCUCCUUGGUGAUUCAUAAUAACUUCACGAAUCGCAUGGCCUUGCGCCGGCGAUGGUUCAUUCAAAUUUCUGCCCUAUCAACUUUCGAUGGUAGGAUAGUGGCCUACCAUGGUGGCAACGGGUAACGGGGAAUUAGGGUUCGAUUCCGGAGAGGGAGCCUGAGAAACGGCUACCACAUCCAAGGAAGGCAGCAGGCGCGCAAAUUACCCAAUCCCGAUACGGGGAGGUAGUGACAAUAAAUACUGAUACAGGGCUCUUUUGGGUCUUGUAAUUGGAAUGAGAACAAUCUAAAUCCCUUAACGAGGAACAAUUGGAGGGCAAGUCUGGUGCCAGCAGCCGCGGUAAUUCCAGCUCCAAUAGCGUAUAUUAAAGUUGUUGCAGUUAAAAAGCUCGUAGUUGAACCUUGGGCCCGUCCUGCCGGUCCGCCUCACCGCGAGUACUGGUCCGGAUGGGCCUUUCUUUCUGGGGAAUCCCAUGGCCUUCACUGGCUGUGU
RNAcentral lists this ribosomal RNA (517 nucleotides) under uncultured fungus. RNAcentral describes it as "SSU rRNA". It matches the Rfam family "Eukaryotic small subunit ribosomal RNA", at positions 214 to 732 of the family's 1831-position model. Lineage: Eukaryota; Fungi. The record is from RNAcentral.